CCUACGGGAGGCAGCAGUGAGGAAUAUUGGUCAAUGGGCGGGAGCCUGAACCAGCCAAGUCGCGUGAGGGAAGACGGUCCUAUGGAUUGUAAACCUCUUUAGGCGGGGAGCAAUGCCGGGCACGCGUGUCCGGAGGGAGAGUACCCGCAGAAUAAGCAUCGGCUAACUCCGUGCCAGCAGCCGCGGUAAUACGGAGGAUGCGAGCGUUAUCCGGAUUUAUUGGGUUUAAAGGGUGCGUAGGCGGCUUGGCAAGUCAGUAGUGAAAUCCAUGGGCUUAACCCAUGAACUGCUAUUGAAACUGUCGG
This 305-nucleotide ribosomal RNA is filed under the name uncultured bacterium. RNAcentral describes it as "bacterial SSU rRNA". It matches the Rfam family "Bacterial small subunit ribosomal RNA", at positions 338 to 639 of the family's 1533-position model. The record is from RNAcentral.